Molecule: ribosomal RNA, 518 nt
Filed under: Chloroflexota bacterium
Lineage: Bacteria; Bacillati; Chloroflexota
Description: Chloroflexi bacterium (groundwater metagenome) partial 23S ribosomal RNA
Rfam family: Bacterial large subunit ribosomal RNA
Source: RNAcentral
GGUCAAGCUUAGAAAGGGUCCGCGGUGGAUGCCUUGGGGCCAAGGGCCGAAGAAGGGCGUGGCAAGACUACGAAAAGCCUCGGUGAGCUGUCUAGCGAGCAUAGCCGGGGAUACCCCAAUGGGCGAACCUCUUCUGGUAAAACCGGAAGAUCCCGAUAACAUCGGGAAGGUAAGUGGAGGAACUGAAACAUCUAAGUACUCCGAGGAAAAGAAAUCAACCGAGAUUCCCUGAGUAGUGGCGAACGAAACGGGAAAGGCCCAAACUCUAGGGGCUAAGUGGGCUGGGGCCCUAUGUCCCUGGAGGGUUGUAAGACGCAUCGGUUCCGAUCCCAGUAGGAGCAAGGAGUAAGAAACCUUUUGUCAGGCGAAGGGUCCUGGAAGGGCCAACCGUAGAGGGUGAGAGUCCCGUAGAUGAAAGACAAAAGGCUCCUGGUGCGAUCUUGAGUACCACGGGACACGAGGAAUCCUGUGGGAAGCAGGGGGGACCACCCUCCAAGGCUAAAUACCCUUGGCGACCG